Molecule: long non-coding RNA, 1755 nt
Organism: Apis cerana (Asiatic honeybee)
Lineage: Eukaryota; Metazoa; Arthropoda; Insecta; Hymenoptera; Apidae
Source: RefSeq, a predicted model, not a curated record
UGGAUCGGUCGCAGCUCGCUUCCUCGCCGGCUGUUCGUUGACCGCGUUCACCGGUUACCGCACCUGAUCGCCGAUUUAUUUCCAUUCCCGUCGUCCGCGGAUUUCUUUGUUCGAAGAAAGCCAAGUCGAGCAAAGUCCACCAAACACAGCCUUCCAUUCCGAACACAGCGUUUCAUAAUUCUAGAAAGAAUCGAGGAAACGAAUUUCCUCCCUCUUUCGAUCGAUUCUUCGGAGGAAUCAUUCGAACGAUGGUCGUAUUUUAAUUUCGACGCUCUCUGCCCCAAGCAUCGAUUCUUAAAAAGAGAAAAACGAUUCGAGUCAAAACGGUGAUUUGAUUUUCGUCAUUCGUAUCAUCAAUUCGUAUUCUUCUUUAUUCUUCUCUCACUCGCACGUUCAACUACACGCUCAAACCCACGCUCGUGAUACGUAUAUCAUCCAGGAGAAGGUGGAGAGACCGGUCCACGAUUAUGAUGCGCUGGUAGUUUGAAGUUGGCGUAAUAACAGGCCUCGAACGCGUGCUCCACCGAUGAGAAUGCGCCGCAGGGUUAGAAACGUCGAUUCCUCCGCUUCGAUUAGUAGUUACCGGCCCUAGAACCGUCGACCAUCCACCUCGAGAUAGUUUCAGUUAUCGUCUAUAAAGUGCUAACGCCCGAUCCUACGCUCGUUCCACGGAUCGAGUUCUCGUUACGCCGCACGCACGAUCACGCUCUUACCUUUAUUAUAUCCGACCAGAAGAAGAGGAUCACCUCUUCCUCGAUCGCAAAAAACUCCGAGCUCGUGUAAUUACCGCGUAAAUCUAGCCGAUUUGCAUAUACCAACGGUCCAUUGGAUCGCACUAACGACAUUUUCUCACGCGUUUCGUUAUUCCACGUGUAUUCGGAAUCCGAGAAGUAGAUCCGACUCGGUCAAUCAUUCUUUAACAGUUUAAUCGAAGCUCCAGGAUUAAUACACUCGAUUUUCUUGUUCUACGAAUUUUACUCGAAAAAGAAAACGUGAAAAAUAACGCGAUACAAAAUUUGUUUUAGAAAAGAAACGUUCCGUACGCGAGUAAACGCAAGGACGCACAGUGUUUGAAAAAUUAUCAACAGCAACGUUCCCUUUGUCUUAUCUCUCUUUCGUCGCUCUCGAAUAAACAAACACUCGCGCGUACGCGUGAGUCACACAUAUUCUCCUUCUCCCCUCUUACAGGAUAAACAUUCACCAUUCGUGCUACGUACUCUCGUCAGUAUACACAACGAUUUUGAACUUCGCAGUUCACGCCUUUUACGCAGCUCUCUGCUCGAAUAGAAAAUCGAUAUCCAGAAUCGAACUUUGCUCGAUUCUUGUGCGGUGUGGCCUCGAACGUGUUAAUCCGUCCGAAUGGAUCGAUCGAGAGGUGCAUACCAUUCCUUGGAACGACGCUCGAAAUGGACCUUGGAGGAAUUUGCAGCUCGGACAACGGGGAAUCGUAAGCCGGCCGUUACAUCCCGCGACCACGUUUCAGAUUCAACGGAUGGAGGGGCGGAUAAAAGGAGGAUGGUCGAUUGGAUGGUCGUGGAUAAACGGGUCGAAUCUACGCACGAGCGGAGAGUCGAAACGGUAGUAGGCCCAAGAUAAAUUUACGAAAGGACCGGUGUACAGGAGGGCGGACGCGAGCAAAGUCGGGCCAACCUUAAUUCGAUUCCGUGCCAGAGAAAAAUUAACUUCUCUGUACUGUGAGGAGAAUUUUACCAAAAAAAAAAAAAUUGUGAAAAAUACAUCGAUCGAGAUAAAAGU